AGAGGGUGCAAGCGUUAAUCGGAAUUACUGGGCGUAAAGCGCGCGUAGGUGGUUUGUUAAGUUGGACGUGAAAUCCCCGGGCUCAACCUGGGAACUGCAUUCAAAACUGACAAGCUAGAGUAUGGUAGAGGGUGGUGGAAUUUCCUGUGUAGCGGUGAAAUGCGUAGAUAUAGGAAGGAACACCAGUGGCGAAGGCGACCACCUGGACUGAUACUGACACUGAGGUGCGAAAGCGUGGGGAGCAAACAGGGAUUAGAUACCCUGGUAGUCCACGCCGUAAACGAUGUCAACUAGCCCGUUGGGAGCCUUGAGCUCUUAGUGGCGCAGCUAACGCAUUAAGUUGACCGCCUGGGAGUACGGCCGCAAGGUUA
RNAcentral lists this ribosomal RNA (371 nucleotides) under uncultured organism. RNAcentral describes it as "partial 16S ribosomal RNA". It matches the Rfam family "Bacterial small subunit ribosomal RNA", at positions 527 to 896 of the family's 1533-position model. The record is from RNAcentral.